UCUGCCUCUGUUCUUAAAAUAUCUUGCAUAUUGUGUCCGAAUAAUCAAGGUUCUUAGAAAUCUGUGUGAAAAUGAGGCGAAGAGUCCGUAACAACAGAUGCUGUUAUCACGCUGACUUCAGCAACUUAAAAAAAAAAAAUCCAACUAGCCAUGUUUGGGAUGUGCCUGUCACAUGGUGGACUGUGUGGCCUACGCUCAGAAGCCACACGAACAAUAUUGCCGUUUUUCAGGAGAGCAGACUGGAGAUCCCUUGAGAGUGAUGCCUACAGCAACAUUUGGCUGAAGGGAACGCACAAGGACAGAGAGGAUCAGGUUUCUUUUUCAGGACUCAGGUAAGGGGCGGAGCAUUCACAAGAGGGGUGACAGCCAUAGCAGCGGGGUCUGGAUCAGCCACACCCCAGCCAGGUGAGACCUCAGGCUGCGGAUGGCACCUCCCCCCGCAGGGGCCGGCCGGCUCCCUCAGCGCGGGCACAGGGCUGCCAUUGUUCCCCUUCACACAGACCUUCAGCGGGGACUUCCCAUUCUGGGAGGCAGCCCUGGCGACCAGACCUGAGGUAUGUAGUUACUGGCCAGUUUCCUGAGCCGCAGAGGGCAAGACCAGUUUUAUGAAGUCACCACGGGCUAUUUUUAGACACCCAUACUCCCCGGGGAACCUGUAAUUUCCCAGCCUGGCCUGGGCCAUGGGGAUCUCCACGGAGGAGCCCAGGCCUUGAAGGCAGAGAAGAGUUCCCAGCAGCAGCUCGACACAUUCCUUUGCUAAGAUAGACCCGCGGUUCUCAGGCAGCGGUGAGCAUCAGAAUGACUACAGAGCCUUUUCCAGACCUCCCCCAGCUUCCUGCACCGGACUCAGAACCAGAGAAGGGGGAUGGUGCCUCAGGCAUGCACGUAUUUUGCAAACACUACCCCGAAGGAUGCCAGCUGCCAGUACAGCUGUAAUGUGCUUUGCAGAGACUGCCUCUACCCGCAACCCUGCACGGAGCUUUCCAACAGCAUUUGCUCACUUCGUGUCUCGGUCACAUUCUGGUAAUCCUAGCAAUAUUUUAAACUUUUUCAUUAUUAUAUUUUUAUUGUGAUGUUUGAUCAGUGAUUAAAACUCACUGAAAGCUCACAUGAU
Mustela lutreola (European mink) is the source of this 1114-nucleotide long non-coding RNA. RefSeq lists it as uncharacterized. NCBI's taxonomy places the organism in Eukaryota, Metazoa, Chordata, Mammalia, Carnivora, Mustelidae. The transcript has 3 exons. The record is from RefSeq and is a predicted model, not a curated record.